UUUUAACCUCGGAACUGAGAAUGAAAUAAGAGGCUCUUAUUCCUGUCUUGAAAAACUCCAGACUUAAUUCACCUCAGUUGAGAUGUCUGAGAGGAACUGAGGAAGAUCUGUGUUCCUAAUGGAGAGAAGCAACGUUUAUGUCAUCUAUGGGGCUAUUAGCAAUGAGCACAUCCU
This is a long non-coding RNA of Ornithorhynchus anatinus (platypus), 174 nucleotides long. RefSeq lists it as uncharacterized. Lineage: Eukaryota; Metazoa; Chordata; Mammalia; Monotremata; Ornithorhynchidae. The record is from RefSeq and is a predicted model, not a curated record. The transcript is spliced from 3 exons.